CAAACGGGCCUUUUCAGGACCAACCACAUAUUCAUAGAAAAGCUA
This is a non-coding RNA of Lingula anatina, 45 nucleotides long. The record is from Rfam. Lineage: Eukaryota; Metazoa; Brachiopoda; Lingulata; Lingulida; Lingulidae.